GGCCUAAUGGCCCAAUGGCAAGGCGCUUGACUACGAAUCAAGAGAUUCCAGGUUGUAAGUGUGCUCAAAGCGUACUCGAUUCGAAUCCCAUUACUAACAAUGGACAGCGACCCCUGGUUAGGUCA
RNAcentral lists this transfer RNA (125 nucleotides) under Plenodomus lingam JN3. RNAcentral describes it as "tRNA-Arg (ACG) (tRNA-Arg-ACG-1-1)". It matches the Rfam family "tRNA". From Rfam's summary of the family: Transfer RNA (tRNA) molecules are approximately 80 nucleotides in length. Lineage: Eukaryota; Fungi; Ascomycota; Dothideomycetes; Pleosporales; Leptosphaeriaceae. The record is from RNAcentral.